GAUGAACGCUCGCUACAGGCUUAACACAUGCAAGUCGAGGGGAAACGGCAUCGAAAGCUUGCUUUUGAUGGGCGUCGACCGGCGCACGGGUGAGUAACGCGUAUCCAACCUGCCCAUCACUUGGGAAUAACCUUGCGAAAGUAAGACUAAUGCCCAAUGACUUCCCACGAAGGCAUCCGAAUGGGAUUAAAGAUUUAUCGGUGAUGGAUGGGGAUGCGUCUGAUUAGCUUGUUGGCGGGGUGACGGCCCACCAAGGCAACGAUCAGUAGGGGUUCUGGGAGGAAGGUCCCCCACAUUGGAACUGAGACACGGUCCAAACUCCUACGGGAGGCAGCAGUGAGGAAUAUUGGUCAAUGGGCGAGAGCCUGAACCAACCAAGUAGCGUGCAGGAUGACGGCACUAUAGGUUGUAAACUGCUUUUAAAAGGGAAUAAAGUGGGUCACGUGUGACUUUUUGCAUGUACCUUAUGAAUAAGGGCCGGCUAAUUCCGUG
Molecule: ribosomal RNA, 492 nt
Filed under: uncultured bacterium
Lineage: Bacteria
Description: partial 16S ribosomal RNA
Rfam family: Bacterial small subunit ribosomal RNA
Source: RNAcentral